RNAcentral lists this ribosomal RNA (494 nucleotides) under uncultured bacterium. RNAcentral's name for it is "partial 16S ribosomal RNA". It matches the Rfam family "Bacterial small subunit ribosomal RNA", at positions 28 to 507 of the family's 1533-position model. The record is from RNAcentral.
GACGAACGCUGGCGGCGUGCUUAACACAUGCAAGUCGAACGGAAAGGCCUGCUUUCCCUUGUGGAUUGCGGGUGCUCGAGUGGCGAACGGGUGAGUAACACGUGAGUGAUCUGCCCCCAACUUGGGUAUAAGCCUGGGAAACUGGGUCUAAUUCCCGAUAGGACUGCAGGGUGGUGCCUGUGGUGGAAAACGAUUUUCUAGUGGUUGGGGAUGAGCUCGCGGCCUAUCAGCUUGUUGGUGGGGUAAUGGCCUACCAAGGCGGCGACGGGUAGCCGGCCUGAGAGGUUGGACGGCCACAUUGGGACUGAGAUACGGCCCAGACUCCUACGGGAGGCAGCAGUGGGGAAUAUUGCACAAUGGGCGGAAGCCUGAUGCAGCGACGCCGCGUGGGGGAUGACGGCCUUCGGGUUGUAAACUCCUUUCGACCGCGAGGAAGCCACCUGGUUGGAAGGGUGGUGACGGUAGUGGUAGAAGAAGCACCGGCUAACUACGUG